AUAGCGACAUAGUUCCUUUCACCGGGCUUUGAUAGUGGUAGCAGGAGCGAGCUGAGGUAGGGACUUACAGAACCUUUAUAUUUCUUUUCAUGCUCAUAUUUUAUAAAUGAAUGGAUAUAGUCGUUAUUGAAAUUCAUGCAUGGUUUUGGUUGAAUAUUAUUGCUAACAGGAAUUGCUAUUCGGUUCAUUUCUUAUUAUUAAGUCGAUGAUUGCGAUUGGAUUCCUCGAAAAAUUUGAUUAUUGGAUUAAUUUAGUUUAUUUAUAUUUUAUAUAAAAAUAGUGUUUUAAAAAGGAAUUUCUCGAUAAAUCUCUUUCCAAUGGUGGAAAGGAUUUGGUUUUGUAAUGCGGGGCAAGGAAACCCGAUUGUAAUGUAUAACUGGGAUGUGUGAGGUCCCUAGAUUGGUGGAAAUAUUGAUCUGGUAUGCUGUCACGAUUAUGGCUGUGGCCCGGUUAGGGUAGCCAACUAUACGGAUGAUAUUUGAUUAUGGUUGUGGCCCGGUUAGGGUAGCCAUGGAUAUUGUUUAAAUCUGGGGACUCACCACACAUUUAAAUAUAUAUAAAGAAAGUAACUAAUAUAUUAUAUAUAUUUAUAUAAUGAGGUAGUUUGGAGAGGGACCUGUGAAUUCCUAUAAAGAAUGAGUUGUUGUCAUAUUCCGGAGACGACAGUUCAUUCUAGGAUGACAUCUAUGGUGUUCACCUUUAGAAGGUGAAUGGGCCGCCUUCUAGAGAGAUACAUUAGAGAUGUAUCCGGGAAUUCCUUUUCACCAUUCCAGACCACCAUUCAUGUAGUGGUACGUUGUUGAUAUAUUAGUUCAGAUGAGGCUACAUGUUACCUCGAUGAGGUUUAGACGCGAGGGGUGAGAGUUAGUCCAAUCCUGGACGUGUGUCAGGAUCCUGUGCAGUCUGCAGUCGUCGAACGGUUGACCACCGUAAGUCAGGGAUUCCUCGUAUCAGGAAUCGUGGUCAAAGGCCCACCUGAGCCUAAAUAGACGGGUUUAGUGUUCUGGGAACACAAUAACGGUAAUACAGUCACCCCACCGGAAAUCAGGAAAUAACGGUGUAGGUUCACACUGGUAAGUACUGAACCAAGAGAUUGCCUGCGACCGGGGCGGUAUAGCGGUCGUACCUCAUCAUUCUAGUAGGAUGCAACUACCCGAAACUAUUGUAUGAUGGUUUGCUUAUAUAUAGUAUACUUGUGAUGCUAUUAUAUUGUAAUGUUUUACAUUUCCGUUUUUAUUAUUCGCCUUUUAUGUAUUUAAAAUCUUGCAUUAUUUACAACUGUUUAUUAUGGAUUAAUCGUCAUAAUUAGAUUUAUAUUGGAACUGUAAGUCACUACUGAGCAAGUGGAUUAUGCUCACCCUACCAUUACCCUUUUCAGACGAUUCUACAAUUGAGGAGCCUGCUGUAGAGGUAGUCGAUGACGGGGAUGAUGACUACUUUUGUCUUAUGUGAGAGAGUGGGCGAGGGUUGAAAUAAUCUUUUGUUAGUCACUUUAUAUGAGAUAUAUGUAUAUAUAACUAUUACGAAAACAGUCUUGUAUAUAUACUACAGAAUCAUGUAAGUUGAGUUAUUAUUUAUAUAUAUAAAAAGUUUGUUUUUGUGUACUUGCGAUUUUGUCGUAAAUGGAGAAAAUGAAUUCAACACCUGACUCCCAAGGUUUUUUAUUAAUAGGUUAGAAAUGAUAAAUUUUGUCCUUAGUAUUGAUUUAAUGCCUCGAGAUGCGGUUCAAACUUAUUGAGAUAUGAAUUGUAUUUUGGGGUGUUACAGCAUGGUAUCAGAGCGCCACUAUUAGAUUCGUUUGGGGUCUGUUAGAAGAAUAUGUGUUUUAAGGAAAAUAAAGAAAAUGAAUAAAAUACACUAGUCCUAUCAAGACAUCUUGGCAAUUUUAGAACGUCAACUUGCUGUCGAAACGUUGUUGAAAUUUAAAAUACACUUGCAACAUUAACAGCUUAGAUCAAAGUGUCGUGAGAGAUCGAUGAGUUUCGAGAUGUGUAAUUAUGAUGUUACUCUGCCGAAAUUUACUUUUGUUAAGUAUAUCGCGUUCUCGGCUGAAUUUGUGAUUUUGACCAAAUGCAGAAGGUUUACUAUGGAUGUUUUGGGAAAUACUGAUAGUGAUGGCACUACUAGCCAGACAUCUAUUGACAAGGGGUUAGAUUUGUUGAACAAAAUGUCGCAAGGACAAGAGGAACUGAGAAUGGAUGUAGCGAAUCUUAAGGCCAGGCAGAAUAAUGAAGCACAACUUCCACCUCCACCGGCUAUUAUUCCUACUGGUGUUGUGCCUGAAAUGGUGCGACCUGUUUUGCAAAAUGUGGCAUUACAGGAAGUCCAACCAGCAGUUUUGGGCCAACCAAAUGUACAGGCAUUAGUUGCAGCAGAGAAUCAGAAUGUGUUGCCAUUUGUUCAAGGCCAGGGAGGUUAUUUACUGACUAACUUUGCUAGGUUGAAUCCACCAAUAUUUGAAGGGCCUUCAGGAUCUUUAACUACUUCAAAACCCGAAGAUUGGUUGUUGGAUAUAUCUUCCAUGCUUGACUCUUUUAUGUGUAAUGACACUGAGCGUGUGAACCUGGCAGUUUUUAUGCUUAGAGGUCAAGCAAAACACUGGUGGAUUAGUGUGAAAGAUAUCGAAGUGCAACCUAUGACAUGGGCAAGGUUUGAGGAAGUGUUUUUGUUGAGAUAUGUAAGUGAAGCUGACCGACAAAGGAAAUAUAUAGAGUUCUUGAAACUAGAACAAGGAAGUAUGACAGUGACUCAAUACGAGGAGAAAUUUACUGUGUUGUCCAGGUAUGGGAAGGAAAUGAUCUCAACUGAAAAAUCGAAAGCCACAAAGUUCAUAUAUGGGUUGAAGGCCUAUAUGCAGGACAAAAUGUCUGUACUUCAGAUUGAUAAUUAUGGCGAGGCUGUGAGGAGAGCUCAGGGAAUUGAAAGGGUUGAUGAGCAGCUGCGUAUUAAUAAGCCUCUACCAUCUUAUAGUGGGAAACGACAGUGUUACCAGGGUAGUAGUUCAGGACCACAGAAAUUUUACAGACCAACUGGUCAGCCUAUUCAAUACAUGAGGCCGACUACUGUGCACAAAAGUUUUAAUGUUGUUAGGCCAGUACAUAGUUCACCAAGCGUUAGACCAGUUACUAAGAUGGCUCCAUGGGAUCUUUGUCCUCCAAAGGUGAAACCACCAGAGCACACUUCGAAGCCAUCGACUCAAAUAGUUAAAGGGCCACGUGCGCCGACCUGGCAGGAUAAUCUGCUUACAUGUUAUCAUUGUGGAGGUGUUGGUCAUAUGAAGAAGUUUUGUCCACGACUGAAUCCAAUGCUUGCACAGAAACAUGCCAGUAAAGUGUAUUAUCUAGUUCCUUCAGAGGAGGCAGUAGAGUCUCAGGAUGAAGCCAUGGUUUAUUCCACGAUAGAGGCAGAUCCGAAUGCAACUGAGGAAGUGGUUGAAGGUACGAUACUUUUAUUUUCGCAUUAUGUACGUGUUAUGUUUGAUAGUGGUGCUACUCGUUCUUUUAUUGAUCCUAGUGUGGCUGCAUCUUUGAAAUUGAAAAUGAAGAAUACGGGUAGAAAGCUUACUUUAUCGACUGCCAAUGGAUUGAAAACCAUGUUACUUAGAGUUUGCCAACAUUGUCUAGUUACUAUUGGUAAGUUUGAAAUGACAGCAGAUUUUGUUGUUAUGGAUCUGAAAGAUUUCGACAUUAUACUUGGGAUGAAUUGGAUGUCCAGCCAUCAUGCUCAUGUAGAUUGUUUUGCAAAAGCUGUUGUUUUCAAGAUGCCAGGAGAGCCUGAGUUUAUGUUUAAGGGGGUACGACAUCAUGUUACUCGAUUCAUGAAGAUUGUGGAAAUUUCUAGAAGUUCUGAAUAUGCUAUGUUAGCGAGUGUUGAUGUGAUUAACAAAGAAUCACCAUCACUGGAGCAUCUUUUAGUAGUCUCUGAGUUUGAGGCAGUAUUUCCUGAAAAACUACCAGGAUUGCCACCUCAACGAGAAAUAGAUUUUGUGAUAGAUCUUAUACCGGGAACUUCACCAAUUUCGAUGAAUCCUUAUCGAAUGGCUCCAAUAGAGAUGCGAGAAUUGAAAUCUCAGAUUGAAGAGUUGAAGGAUUUGGAUUUAUACGCGAGAGCCACUCACCUUGGGGGGCUCCGGUAUUGUUUGUGAAGAAGAAGGACGGGUCAUUUCGACUUUGUAUUGAUUAUCGCAAAUUAAACCAUGCGACUAUCAAGAACAAAUACCCGUUGCCUGAUCUAUUUGAUCAAUUGAGGGAUGCCAGAUAUUUCUCGAAGAUAGAUCUCAGAUCCGGUUAUCAUCAGUUGAGAAUUAGAGAUGGAGACAUUGAGAAAACUGCUUUCCGAACUCGGUUGGGACACUUUGAAUUUCUGGUGAUGCCGUUUGGUUUGACAAAUGCUCCAGCUGCAUUUAUGGAUCUGAUGCACCGUGUGUUUUGGAAAUAUUUAGACCAAUUUGUUAUCAUUUUUAUCGAUGACAUAUUGAUCUAUUCCAAGACUCAGGAAGAGCAUGAAAAACAUUUGAGAAUUACACUUCAAACAUUACUUGAACCAAAGCUUUAUGCUAAGUUCAGUAAAUGUGAAUUCUGGUUGCGUGAAGUGAAAUUUCUUGGGCAUGUUGUAUCGAAAGAUGGCAUAUCUGUUGAUCCUUCAAAGAUUGAAGCAAUUAAGAAUUGGCAGAGGCCAAAGAAUGUGACAGAAAUCAGAAGUUUUCUGGGAUUAGCAGGCUAUUAUCGUCGAUUUGUUGAGGGGUUUUCGAGUUUAGCUUCGUCCUUAACGAGAUUAACUCAAAAAGAUUCAAAAUUUGAAUGGACAGAUGAUUGCGAAUCUGCAUUUCAGGAGUUGAAAAGUCGGCUAACUACUGCACCAAUUUUAACAGUUCCAGAUCCUAAGAAGGAUUAUGUGGUAUAUACUGACGCUUCUAAGGUUGGACUGGGGUGUGUUCUAAUGCAAGACGGUAAGGUGAUAGCUUAUGCGUCGAGGCAGCUGAACAAUCAUGAGAAAAAUUAUCCUACACAUGACUUAGAGUUAGCUGCAGUUGUGCAUGCUUUAAAGAUAUGGAGACACUACUUGUAUGGGGAGAAGUUUGUAGUCUUCUCUGAUCAUAAGAGCCUCAAAUAUCUGUUUUCGCAGAGAGAUUUGAAUAUGAGACAGACGAGGUGGGUUGAAUACCUUAAGGACUAUGAUGUUACAUUGCAAUACCAUCCUGGUAAAGCUAAUGUAGUGGCAGAUGCCCUUAGUCGGAAACAGGACGAGGUAUGUGCUCAAAUGAUGAUACAUGAGUGGAAAUUAUUAGACUCAGUUGGUUGUUAUUUUUUUUUGUAAAUAAACAAGCAGUAUCGAAGGAGUUCCAAAUGUACAGAAGAUAUGUAGAAGAUACUGAAAAUCAUCAAUGGCAAGAGUGUGAAGAUGGUAGUAUCAGAUUCAGAGGAAGGUUUUGGGUUCCAGCAAAUCAAGCUUUGAGAAACUGUAUACUAAAUGAAGCCCACAGAUCAAGGUAUACUAUUCAUCCGGGCGGCACUAAAAUGUAUAGAGACUUACGUCGACAGUUUUGGUGGCCAGGAAUGAAGAAACAUAUUGCCCAAUAUGUGAAGAGAUGUGCGACAUGCCAACAGGUAAAAGCUGAACACAAUAGGCCUCCAGGUCUUCUUCAUCCUUUAGAAAUUCCAGAAUGGAAGUGGGAUCAUAUAACGAUGGAUUUUAUAUCCGGGUUACCAAAAACCAGUGAUGGAAUGGACUCGAUAUGGGUUAUAGUUGACAGAUUGACAAAGUCUGCUCACUUUCUACCUGUUAAAAGUUCAUAUUCCGCUGAAAAAUUGAGUCGGAAGUAUAUUUCAGAGAUACUAAGGUUGCAUGGCGCACCAAGAUCAAUUGUUUCUGAUAGAGGCACUCAAUUUACUGGUUCAUUCUGGCGAGGUCUUCAAAGAGAACUUUGCACAAGGUUGAAUCUUAGUACCGCAUUUCACCCACAAACUGAUGGUCAGUCUGAAAGAGUAAUUCAAAUUGUAGAAGAUAUGCUUCGCGCUUGUAUUCUUGAUUUUGGAGGUAAUUGGAAGGAGCAUCUAUCAUUGGCCGAAUUUGCUUACAAUAACAGCUAUCAGUCCAGUAUAGGCAUGGCACCUUAUGAAGCACUAUAUGGGCGACCAUGUAGAACACCAUUGUGUUGGGCAGAGACUGGGGACAGUAUUUUGAUAGGGCCAGACAUAGUUGGGGAAACUACUGAGACGAUCAGAAUAAUAAGAAACAGGUUGUUAACAGCACAAAGUAGACAGAAGAGUUAUGCUGAUUCUCGUAGACGACAUGCAGAGUUUAAAGAAGGAGACAUGGUACUUCUUAAAGUUUCUCCGAAAAAGGGUAUUCAAAGGUUCAGAAUGAAAGGCAAACUGGCACCAAGAUAUGUGGGACCGUUUCGAAUUAUUCAAAAGGUUUCUGAUCUGGCCUAUAGACUUGAAUUGCCUGAAAAGUUAGCACGUGUCCACAACGUCUUCCAUAUUUCGAUGUUACGUGAGUACAGAAAUGAUCCUAACCAUAAGAUUGAUGUGGAGUCUUUAGAACUAGAAGAUGAUCUAUCCUAUCCAGAAGGGCCAGUUAAAAUUACGGGAUGGAAAGAGAAGCAACUCAGAUCCAAGGUCAUUCCAUUAGUCAAGGUAGUGUGGCAACAUCAUAAUGUGAAAGAAGCAACCUGGGAAAGAGAGUCAGAGAUGCAGGAGAAAUAUCCUGAACUUUUCAGGAAAGGAUGUUACCAAUAGCGAGGUAUCACUCUAAUUUCGAGGACGAAAUUUCUUUUAACGUUUAUAGAAUGUAAAGACCCGUGCACUCUUUAGGGGCAUUUUAGUAAUCUUACCAUCAAGAAACGGUUGUAAGUGUAAUAUAGUGAAAAAUAUGUUAAGAAAUUAAUUAAAAACAGCGUAAUUUUAUAAGAACCAUUCAAAUUUACAUAAACUUAUUAAGUGUAUUGUCAAGUUCAAACACGUAAAAUAGGUUUAAAUGGACCCACAUGUGUUAUAGAAAAGGGUUUUACCAAUAGGAUUAACUUAACUAGAGUGCUCCCGAAUGCACAAGAUUGUGUGGGGUUACUUGCAUGGCUAAGUAUACAAAUUAGCUGGACACCUCCUGCUUGGGCAGUAGCUAGUUGUUGUGAUCUAUAUUCAACCUACAUAGGGAACAUAAAACAAUGUGAAAGGACCAAACCAGCUUUAUGUUUGCUCAUUACAUCUCCCUUGCCUUCAUUUAACAACACCUAAUGAAUUCUUAACUAUACCAUCAGUAGCUUAAGGUUGGAAACUAGUUUAUACCUUAACUUGAAUUAGUAUAGCUAGCAGUGAAGAAAGUAAUCAAAGUAGAAAAGAACAAGAGGACCAAGGAGAGAAAGGAAGGGGAUAAGCAGUAGAGAACCACUCCGGCAGGUAUCCUUCUAUCACUUUAGAAAUUUGGUUUUUUGAGAGCUAAGACUUUUGAGGAACACUUGAUUCUAAUAAAGUUUCAUUGGACAAUAAAGAUUUAGGUGACCUUAGCUUCAGAUCUGGGCACAGGUGAGAUAUAGAAUUAUGGUCGGUUUUGAUGUGUAGAUUAGCCAUACAUAUUGAUCAUGUGUUGUUCUAAGUGCACCUGGUGAUUGGGUUUUAACUUAGCAUAUGUAAUUUGAAAUAGAUAGAAAUUAAAGAAAAGAUAUAUUAUGGCAGGAUAUAAUAAUUAUGGUUAAUGCCGAUGUCCUACUAAACUCGAAAUUAAUGGCAACACUCUGAUAUAGGUGUUUCACACAUGGAUUUACUAUGAUAAACAAGCCAAUUACCAAUACGCUAUAGCUCGGAUAAUUUGCUUUAUUAGACAACAUAUAAAAAAAACACGAAACUAACAAUCGAUUAGGAUACUUUAGAUAAUUAGUUAGAUAGUAGCAAAUUAUUAAAUCUUUAGAUUUUGGGCUUAUGCUUGUUCUUAUAUUUUAGGAUAGCGACAUAGUUCCUUUCACCGGGCUUUGAUAGUGGUAGCAGGAGCGAGCUGAGGUAGGGACUUACAGAACCUUUAUAUUUCUUUUCAUGCUCAUAUUUUAUAAAUGAAUGGAUAUAGUCGUUAUUGAAAUUCAUGCAUGGUUUUGGUUGAAUAUUAUUGCUAACAGGAAUUGCUAUUCGGUUCAUUUCUUAUUAUUAAGUCGAUGAUUGCGAUUGGAUUCCUCGAAAAAUUUGAUUAUUGGAUUAAUUUAGUUUAUUUAUAUUUUAUAUAAAAAUAGUGUUUUAAAAAGGAAUUUCUCGAUAAAUCUUUUUCCAAUGGUGGAAAGGAUUUGGUUUUGUAAUGCGGGGCAAGGAAACCCGAUUGUAAUGUAUAACUGGGAUGUGUGAGGUCCCUAGAUUGGUGGAAAUAUUGAUCUGGUAUGCUGUCACGAUUAUGGCUAUGGCCCGGUUAGGGUAGCCAACUAUACGGAUGAUAUUUGAUUAUGGUUGUGGCCCGGUUAGGGUAGCCAUGGAUAUUGUUUAAAUCUGGGGACUCACCACACAUUUAAAUAUAUAUAAAGAAAGUAACUAAUAUAUUAUAUAUAUUUAUAUAAUGAGGUAGUUUGGAGAGGGACCUGUGAAUUCCUAUAAAGAAUGAGUUGUUGUCAUAUUCCGGAGACGACAGUUCAUUCUAGGAUGACAUCUAUGGUGUUCACCUUUAGAAGGUGAAUGGGCCGCCUUCUAGAGAGAUACAUUAGAGAUGUAUCCGGGAAUUCCUUUUCACCAUUCCAGACCACCAUUCAUGUAGUGGUACGUUGUUGAUAUAUUAGUUCAGAUGAGGCUACAUGUUACCUCGAUGAGGUUUAGACGCGAGGGGUGAGAGUUAGUCCACUCCUGGACGUGUGUCAGGAUCCUGUGCAGUCUGCAGUCGUCGAACGGUUGACCACCGUAAGUCAGGGAUUCCUCGUAUCAGGAAUCGUGGUCAAAGGCCCACCUGAGCCUAAAUAGACGGGUUUAGUGUUCUGGGAACACAAUAACGGUAAUACAGUCACCCCACCGGAAAUCAGGAAAUAACGGUGUAGGUUCACACUGGUAAGUACUGAACCAAGAGAUUGCCUGCGACCGGGGCGGUAUAGCGGUCGUACCUCAUCAUUCUAGUAGGAUGCAACUACCCGAAACUAUUGUAUGAUGGUUUGCUUAUAUAUAGUAUACUUGUGAUGCUAUUAUAUUGUAAUGUUUUACAUUUCCGUUUUUAUUAUUCGCCUUUUAUGUAUUUAAAAUCUUGCAUUAUUUACAACUGUUUAUUAUGGAUUAAUCGUCAUAAUUAGAUUUAUAUUGGAACUGUAAGUCACUACUGAGCAAGUGGAUUAUGCUCACCCUACCAUUACCCUUUUCAGACGAUUCUACAAUUGAGGAGCCUGCUGUAGAGGUAGUCGAUGACGGGGAUGAUGACUACUUUUGUCUUAUGUGAGAGAGUGGGCGAGGGUUGAAAUAAUCUUUUGUUAGUCACUUUAUAUGAGAUAUAUGUAUAUAUAACUAUUACGAAAACAGUCUUGUAUAUAUACUACAGAAUCAUGUAAGUUGAGUUAUUAUUUAUAUAUAUAAAAAGUUUGUUUUUGUGUACU
This 9544-nucleotide long non-coding RNA is filed under the name Aquilegia coerulea. RNAcentral describes it as "long non-coding RNA (ACOE_LNC001261)". Lineage: Eukaryota; Viridiplantae; Streptophyta; Magnoliopsida; Ranunculales; Ranunculaceae. The record is from RNAcentral.